RNAcentral lists this ribosomal RNA (404 nucleotides) under uncultured bacterium. RNAcentral describes it as "bacterial SSU rRNA". It matches the Rfam family "Bacterial small subunit ribosomal RNA", at positions 356 to 774 of the family's 1533-position model. The record is from RNAcentral.
GGGGAAUAUUGGGCAAUGGGGGAAACCCUGACCCAGCAACGCCGCGUGAGUGAAGAAGGCCUUCGGGUUGUAAAGCUCUGUCGCAGGGGACGAAGAAAGUGACGGUACCCUGUGAGGAAGCCCCGGCUAACUACGUGCCAGCAGCCGCGGUAAUACGUAGGGGGCGAGCGUUGUCCGGAAUUACUGGGCGUAAAGGGUGCGUAGGCGGCUUGUUAAGUUGGAUGUGAAAUACCCGGGCUCAACCUGGGGGGUGCAUUCGAUACUGGCAGGCUAGAGUGCAGGAGAGGGAAGCGGAAUUCCUAGUGUAGCGGUGAAAUGCUUAGAUAUCACGAAGAACUCCAAUUGCGAAGGCAGCUCACUGGAGUGUAACUGACGCUGAUGCUCGAAAGUGUGGGUAUCAAACA